GCAUUUGCAAAAUCAGGUGCCGGGAUUGGAACCCUGAAAAAACUUAGUGGCGACAUAUGGCGCAUCUGCGCUUUUUUU
RNAcentral lists this small RNA (78 nucleotides) under Salmonella enterica subsp. enterica serovar Liverpool. RNAcentral describes it as "isrK". It matches the Rfam family "isrK Hfq binding RNA". RNAcentral also lists the same sequence under 16 other names. Lineage: Bacteria; Pseudomonadati; Pseudomonadota; Gammaproteobacteria; Enterobacterales; Enterobacteriaceae. The record is from RNAcentral.